This 943-nucleotide long non-coding RNA is filed under the name Mus musculus (house mouse). Its description in RNAcentral is "predicted gene, 35164". Lineage: Eukaryota; Metazoa; Chordata; Mammalia; Rodentia; Muridae. The record is from RNAcentral.
GAGUGGCUUUUGUGAGACCUUUCUGCCUAGCUCUAGCUCAUGGUUGUUAUCCUGUCCUCACUCUUCCUGGGCUUAGCAGAGGUCAUGUUCUUGCUUGUGCUUUCUGCUAAGUGAGACAAGACCUUCAUGCCUUCCUCUCCAGCUUCUCAGUAGAGGCAUGCAGAACAUACCCAAUGUCACAAACAAACCUCGAGUGGGCAAGCAAGAAGCCAGGAAUCAGAUGCUGGCUUGAAUCCAGAGGCUGAUGUGGGCCCAAAACCUGCCUGAAAAAUGGAACAAAGGGAAGACAUUGGCCUAAGAGAACACAAGAGAUGCUGCUAAGGUCAUUUAUAGCUUGUAGAAGACUACAAGUAGUCUCAUUUCAGCCAGGACUGGAUACAGGCCAUGGCUAGGUUUGCUAAGGCGCAUGACAGAUGACCCUUGUGAACCAAUGUUGGAAGAACCUCUCGUUGGGAAGGUGCCAUGGAGAACACUCAGCAUCAAUGCCCUACAAGUUUUCUUUAAUGUCCAGUGUAGCUCAUGUUCAAAAUAGCAAUGGAAAUGUGUGGUGUUUAUUGCAGGCACAUAUGUUUGUGAUCAAGGUAUAGCUCUCAGGGAUGAGAAGCAAAAUGCAGUCAUUUGCUGCUCAGCAUCAUAGCUCUCAUACAUUCAACGAAAUAGCUUUAUUUAUCUUCUUCUGCAUAUAGGACCUUCCAUAUUGCAAAUUUAUUGAAUGGUUAAUGGCCUAAAAGUAUGGGGUUCAUUACAGAGAGAUGUAUUUAUUGCAGUGUUAAUUAAAUAAAAGCAUUGUAAUCUUUCCAAAUUGAACAAUUACGUUCAUUUAAACAUUUUAAGGAGAGAAAAAAACUUCUAUAUACUAAUUGAGUUGUAUAAUGAAAAGCAUGUGUAAUGGAAAUUUAAAUAAAACAAAUACUGAAAUAAUUCAAAUAAUUCUUUAACAAUA